Rickettsiales bacterium (ex Bugula neritina AB1) is the source of this 1543-nucleotide non-coding RNA. Lineage: Bacteria; Pseudomonadati; Pseudomonadota; Alphaproteobacteria; Rickettsiales. The record is from Rfam.
AUUUUUUAGAGUUUGAUCCUGGCUCAGAAUAAACGUUAACGGCACUUAUUAGACAUGCAAGUCGAACGGUUUAAUGACAAGAAGCUUGCUUUGGAAGGUUAAACCGUGGCAAACGGGUGAGUAACACGUGGGAACCUGCCUUGAAGUUGGGUAUAAUUUAUAGAAAUAUAAUUGUAAUUCUCUAAUAGUUCUCGAAAGGGUAAAGGAUUAAGGGUAAUAUCUUAAUUCGCUUCAAGAUGGUCCUGCGGCAAUUAAUGCUAGUUGGUGGGGUAAAUGCCUACCAAGGUUGGAUUGUAGCUGGUCUGAGAGGAUGAUCAGCCACACUGGAACUGAGACACGGUCCAGGCCCCUACGGGGGGCAGCAGUCAAGAAUAUUGGACAAUGAGGGAAACCUUGAUCCAGAGAUGCCGUGUGAGUGAUGAAGGCCUUUGGGUUGUAAAGCUCUGUCGUCAGGGAAGAAAUAAAAUGACAGUACCUGAAGAGGAAGUACCGGCUAACUCUGUGCCAGCAGCCGCGGUAAUACAGAGGGUACUAACGUUAUUCGGAAUUAUUGGGCAUAAAGGGUGCGUAGGCGGUUUUUUAAGUCAGUUGCGAAAUUCUGAAGCUUAACUUCAGCGCUGUAAUUGAUACUGGAAAACUAGAGUAUGGGAGAGGUAAAUGGAAUUUGUCGUAGAGGGGUUAAAUCCGUACAUGACAGAGAACGCCAGAAGCGAAAGCGAUUUACUGGAACAGCACUGACGCUGAGGCACGAAAGCGCGGGGAGCAAACAGGAUUAGAUACCCUGGUAGUCCGCUGCUGUAAACGAUGAGGACUAGACAUUGGAUAUUACUUUCAGUGUCGCAGCUAAUGCGUUAAGUCCUCCGCCUGGGGAGUAUAACCGCAAGGUCGAAACUUAAAGGAAUUGACGGGGAUUAGAACAAUUGGUGGAUCAUGUGGUUUAAUUCGAAGGUACACGAAAACCUUACCAGCUUUUGACAUGUUGAUUGUAGGAUAAGGAAACUUAUCUGUCGGCCCUUUUGGGUGUCGGAUCAAACACAGGUGUUGCAUGGCCGUCGUCAGCUCGUGUCGUGAGAUGUUUGGUUAAGUCCAAUAACGAGCGCAACCCUUAUCUCUAGUUGCUAACAGGUAAUGCUGAGUUCUUUAGAGAGACUGACAGUGUAAACUGUAGGAAGGCGAGGAUGAAGUCAGGUCCUUAUGACCCUUAUGGGCUGGGCUACACAUGUGAUACAAUGGUAACUACAAGGAGAAGCAAGUGAGUGAUCACAAGUAUUAUAAAUCUCUUAAAAGUUAUCUCAGUUCGGAUUGGUCUCUGCAACUCGAGACCAUGAAGUCGGAAUCAAUAGUAAUCAGUGGAUCAGCAACGCCACGGUGAAUACGUUCUCUAAUCUUGUACACACCGCCCGUCGCGCCAUGAAAGUUCGUUUACACUUGAAGGGGGGCUAUUUUAGAAAUAAAAAUGUGCUUCACUAUAGUGGGGUGAAUGAUUGGGGCUAAGUCGUAACAAGGUAGCCGUAGGGGAAUCUGCGGCUGGAAUACCUCCUUU